Molecule: ribosomal RNA, 497 nt
Filed under: uncultured bacterium
Lineage: Bacteria
Description: partial 16S ribosomal RNA
Rfam family: Bacterial small subunit ribosomal RNA
Source: RNAcentral
GAUGAACGCUGGCGGCGUGCCUAAUACAUGCCAGUCGAGCGAACGGACGAGAAGCUUGCUUCUCUGAUGUUAGCGGCGGACGGGUGAGUAACACGUGGAUAACCUACCUAUAAGACUGGGAUAACUUCGGGAAACCGGAGCUAAUACCGGAUGAUAUUUUGAACCGCAUGGUUCAAAAGUGAAAGACGGUCUUGCUGUCACUUAUAGAUGGAUCCGCGCUGCAUUAGCUAGUUGGUAAGGUAACGGCUUACCAAGGCAACGAUGCAUAGCCGACCUGAGAGGGUGAUCGGCCACACUGGAACUGAGACACGGUCCAGACUCCUACGGGAGGCAGCAGUAGGGAAUCUUCCGCAAUGGGCGAAAGCCUGACGGAGCAACGCCGCGUGAGUGAUGAAGGUCUUCGGAUCGUAAAACUCUGUUAUUAGGGAAGAACAAAUGUGUAAGUAACUGUGCACAUCUUGACGGUACCUAAUCAGAAAGCCACGGCUAACUACGUG